Molecule: ribosomal RNA, 407 nt
Filed under: uncultured bacterium
Lineage: Bacteria
Description: partial 16S ribosomal RNA
Rfam family: Bacterial small subunit ribosomal RNA
Source: RNAcentral
AUUGAACGCUGGCGGCAGGCCUAACACAUGCAAGUCGAGCGGAGCGGCGGACGGGUGAAUAAUGCCUAGGAAUCUGCCUGGUAGUGGGGGAUAACGUCCGGAAACGGGCGCUAAUACCGCAUACUAUCAGAUGAGCCUAGGUCGGAUUAGCUAGUUGGUGGGGUAAAGGCCUACCAAGGCGACGAUCCGUAACUGGUCUGAGAGGAGGAUCAGUCACAUUGGAAAUGAGACACGGCCCAGACGCCGACGGGAGGCAGCAGUGGGGAAUAGGGCACAAUGGGAGAAUGUCGGAUCCAUCUAUGCUGCGUGUGUGAAGAAGGUCAUCGGAUGGUAAUGCACUUUAAGUGCGUAGGCGUUACUAACAGAAUAAUCACUGGCUAAAUUCGUGCCAGCAGCCGCGGUAAGUC